This 493-nucleotide ribosomal RNA is filed under the name uncultured bacterium. Its description in RNAcentral is "partial 16S ribosomal RNA". It matches the Rfam family "Bacterial small subunit ribosomal RNA", at positions 27 to 507 of the family's 1533-position model. The record is from RNAcentral.
GAGUGAACGCUGGCGGUAGGCCUAACACAUGCAAGUCGAACGGCAGCCCAGUAAGAGCUUGCUCUUACGGGUGGCGAGUGGCGGACGGGUGAGGAAUACAUCGGAAUCUACUUUUUCGUGGGGGAUAACGUAGGGAAACUUACGCUAAUACCGCAUACGACCUACGGGUGAAAGCAGGGGAUCUUCGGACCUUGCGCGAUUGAAUGAGCCGAUGUCGGAUUAGCUAGUUGGCGGGGUAAAGGCCCACCAAGGCGACGAUCCGUAGCUGGUCUGAGAGGAUGAUCAGCCACACUGGAACUGAGACACGGUCCAGACUCCUACGGGAGGCAGCAGUGGGGAAUAUUGGACAAUGGGCGCAAGCCUGAUCCAGCCAUACCGCGUGGGUGAAGAAGGCCUCCGGGUUGUAAAGCCCUUUUGUUGGGAAAGAAAAGCAGCAGGUUAAUACCCCGCUGUUCUGACGGUACCCAAAGAAUAAGCACCGGCUAACUUCGUG